AGCUGCUGGCGCGGGCGGAGCGGCCGAUCUUCUAUGUCGGCGGUGGAGUGAUCAACUCCGGCGAUCGCGCCUGCGAGCUGCUGC
RNAcentral lists this transfer RNA (84 nucleotides) under bacterium HR40. Its description in RNAcentral is "tRNA-Arg". The record is from RNAcentral.